Molecule: ribosomal RNA, 773 nt
Filed under: uncultured Neocallimastigales
Lineage: Eukaryota; Fungi; Neocallimastigomycota; Neocallimastigomycetes; Neocallimastigales
Description: partial large subunit ribosomal RNA
Rfam family: Eukaryotic large subunit ribosomal RNA
Source: RNAcentral
AUGUGAUCGUCUCUCGCAUAUCAAUAAGCGGAGGAAAAGAAACUAACAAGGAUUCCCCUAGUAACGGCGAGUGAAGCGGGAAGAGCUCAAAUUUGAAAUCUUAAAGGGUUUCCCUUUACGAAUUGUAGUUUAAAGAAGUGUUUUCUGUUGAGGUUUUGGUAAAAGUUCUUUGGAAUAGGACAUCAUAGAGGGUGAGAAUCCCGUAUUUGACCUUUACUUUCAACUUUGUGAUACACUUUCAAAGAGUCGGAUUGUUUGGGAAUGCAGUCCAAAAUGGGUGGUAAAUUUCAUCUAAAGCUAAAUAUUGGCGAGAGACCGAUAGCGAACAAGUACCGUGAGGGAAAGAUGAAAAGAACUUUGAAAAGAGAGUUAAACAGUACGUGAAAUUGUCAAAAGGGAAGCGUUUGACACCAGUGUUGUUUUUCUGAAAAUCAAUUAAAGAACUGUUUAUGCUAAGUUGUUUAGACUUUAUCAGCUAUCUGUUUAGUUUUGAGCUUUUCUUUAAUGCACUUUUCAGUUAACAAGUCAACAUCAAUUUCUUUUGCUGUAAAAAAGCUUGAGGAAGGUGGCUUGAGAUUCGUCUUAAGUGUUUAUAGCCUCUUGCCUAUGCAGUCGGAGAGAUUGAGGUCUGCAGCGUAGAUCCUUCGGGGCUAAAUGCAUUUGUGCUAAGUUAUAGCAUUUUAUAGACAACUUGUUGACUAUGAUUUGUCUUGUAGCUUACUCGCUUAUGUUAUUUUACCUACGCUUAGGAUGUUGACACACGCGCGUGCUCG